Molecule: transfer RNA, 73 nt
Filed under: Medicago truncatula (barrel medic)
Lineage: Eukaryota; Viridiplantae; Streptophyta; Magnoliopsida; Fabales; Fabaceae
Description: tRNA-OTHER
Source: RNAcentral
GUGAGCAUAGCUCAGCUGGUAGGAUAAUGCAUUAUUAUAUGCAGGGGCCGGGGUUCGAACCCCAAACAUCCCA